RNAcentral lists this transfer RNA (74 nucleotides) under Rhynchosporium agropyri. It matches the Rfam family "tRNA". Rfam says of the family: Transfer RNA (tRNA) molecules are approximately 80 nucleotides in length. Their secondary structure includes four short double-helical elements and three loops (D, anti-codon, and T loops). Further hydrogen bonds mediate the characteristic L-shaped molecular structure. tRNAs have two regions of fundamental functional importance: the anti-codon, which is responsible for specific mRNA codon recognition, and the 3' end, to which the tRNAs corresponding amino acid is attached (by aminoacyl-tRNA synthetases). tRNAs cope with the degeneracy of the genetic code in two manners: having more than one tRNA (with a specific anti-codon) for a particular amino acid; and 'wobble' base-pairing, i.e. permitting non-standard base-pairing at the 3rd anti-codon position. The record is from RNAcentral. Lineage: Eukaryota; Fungi; Ascomycota; Leotiomycetes; Helotiales; Ploettnerulaceae.
AGUAGCUUAGCUCAGUUGGUUAGAGCGUGGUGCUAAUAACGCCAAGGUCGCGAGUUCGACCCUCGUAGUGAUCA